Molecule: ribosomal RNA, 558 nt
Filed under: uncultured bacterium
Lineage: Bacteria
Description: bacterial SSU rRNA
Rfam family: Bacterial small subunit ribosomal RNA
Source: RNAcentral
UGCAAGUCGAACGAGCGAGAGAGAGCUUGCUUUCUCAAGCGAGUGGCGAACGGGUGAGUAACGCGUGAGGAACCUGCCUCAAAGAGGGGGACAACAGUUGGAAACGACUGCUAAUACCGCAUAAGCCCACAGGUCGGCAUCGACCAGAGGGAAAAGGAGCAAUCCGCUUUGAGAUGGCCUCGCGUCCGAUUAGCUAGUUGGUGAGGUAACGGCCCACCAAGGCAACGAUCGGUAGCCGGACUGAGAGGUUGAACGGCCACAUUGGGACUGAGACACGGCCCAGACUCCUACGGGAGGCAGCAGUGGGGAAUAUUGCACAAUGGGGGAAACCCUGAUGCAGCGACGCCGCGUGGAGGAAGAAGGUCUUCGGAUUGUAAACUCCUGUUGUUGAGGAAGAUAAUGACGGUACUCAACAAGGAAGUGACGGCUAACUACGUGCCAGCAGCCGCGGUAAAACGUAGGUCACAAGCGUUGUCCGGAAUUACUGGGUGUAAAGGGAGCGCAGGCGGGAAGACAAGUUGGAAGUGAAAUCUAUGGGCUCAACCCAUAAACUGCUUU